RNAcentral lists this unclassified non-coding RNA (391 nucleotides) under soil metagenome. Its description in RNAcentral is "partial contains 5.8S ribosomal RNA, internal transcribed spacer 2, and large subunit ribosomal RNA". The stretch from base 1 to 122 matches the Rfam family "5.8S ribosomal RNA", at positions 35 to 154 of the family's 154-position model. The record is from RNAcentral.
GAUGAAGAACGUAGCGAAAUGCGAUACUUGGUGUGAAUUGCAGAAUCCCGUGAACCAUCGAGUCUUUGAACGCAAGUUGCGCCCGAAGCCACUAGGCCGAGGGCACGCCUGCCUGGGCGUCACACGCCGUUGCCCCCCCAUCUACUCCUUCGGGAUUGCAGGGGGGCGGAUGAUGGCCUCCCGUGCGCCUAGCCGCGCGGUUGGCAUAAAUACCAAGUCCUCGGCGACGCACGCCACGACAAUCGGUGGUUGCGAAACCUCGGUUGCCCGUCGUGUGCGUUCGUCGCGCAUCGAGGGCUCGAAAAAAUGCUCGGCUCCGGCUGGGCUUUCAACGCGACCCCAGGUCAGGCGGGGUUACCCGCUGAAUUUAAGCAUAUCAAUAAGCGGAGGA